AGGACGAACGUUGGCGGCGUGCCUUACACAUGCAAGUCGUACGCGAAAGGGGAAUCCAGCUUGCUGGGGACCCCCGGUAGAGUGGCGAACGGGAGCGUAACACGUGAGGAACCUGCCUCGGAGUGGGGAAUAACCCAGAGAAAUCUGGGCUAAUUCCGCAUGAUGCAGCGGCCCCGCAUGGGGACAGUUGUGAAAGACCGCCUCUGCUUGCAAGCGGUCGCUUCGAGAUGGUCUCGCGGCCUAUCAGCUAGUUGGCGGGGUAAUGGCCCACCAAGGCGACGACGGGUAGCCGGCCUGGAGAGGGUGUCCGGCCUCAUUGGGACUGAGACACGCCCAGACUCCUACGGGAGGCAGCAGUGAGGAAUCUUGCGCAAU
Molecule: ribosomal RNA, 375 nt
Filed under: uncultured soil bacterium
Lineage: Bacteria
Description: bacterial SSU rRNA
Rfam family: Bacterial small subunit ribosomal RNA
Source: RNAcentral